CCGGGAAUGAUCAUAUAAAAUAGGUUGAGGGAAGGAGAGGCUUUCGUCGCGAAAUGUUGAUGUGGAUGGCGAAAAAUUUUCGGUCGCCCGAGAUUUCAAACUUGCCAAUGAGUCACGCGAGGCCGCCGCUCCAGGACAGAGGCGAGGAGAGAAACGUAGGGCAGUGUGGUAGGCCCCACCGGUCCUCCAAAACGUGCAAUUGGAUUUACAGUAUCUAGUCCCA
Molecule: long non-coding RNA, 223 nt
Filed under: Elaeis guineensis (African oil palm)
Lineage: Eukaryota; Viridiplantae; Streptophyta; Magnoliopsida; Arecales; Arecaceae
Description: long non-coding RNA (EGUI_LNC016348)
Source: RNAcentral